This 253-nucleotide ribosomal RNA is filed under the name uncultured bacterium. RNAcentral describes it as "partial 16S ribosomal RNA". It matches the Rfam family "Bacterial small subunit ribosomal RNA", at positions 524 to 776 of the family's 1533-position model. The record is from RNAcentral.
UACGUAGGGUGCAAGCGUUAAUCGGAAUUACUGGGCGUAAAGCGUGCGCAGGCGGUUUGGUAAGACAGAUGUGAAAUCCCCGGGCUCAACCUGGGAAUUGCAUUUGUGACUGCCCGACUAGAGUGUGUCAGAGGGGGGUAGAAUUCCACGUGUAGCAGUGAAAUGCGUAGAGAUGUGGAGGAAUACCGAUGGCGAAGGCAGCCCCCUGGGAUAACACUGACGCUGAGGUGCGAAAGCGUGGGGAGCAAACAGG